RNAcentral lists this transfer RNA (76 nucleotides) under Anaeromassilibacillus sp. RNAcentral's name for it is "tRNA-Ala". It matches the Rfam family "tRNA". From Rfam's summary of the family: Transfer RNA (tRNA) molecules are approximately 80 nucleotides in length. Their secondary structure includes four short double-helical elements and three loops (D, anti-codon, and T loops). Further hydrogen bonds mediate the characteristic L-shaped molecular structure. tRNAs have two regions of fundamental functional importance: the anti-codon, which is responsible for specific mRNA codon recognition, and the 3' end, to which the tRNAs corresponding amino acid is attached (by aminoacyl-tRNA synthetases). tRNAs cope with the degeneracy of the genetic code in two manners: having more than one tRNA (with a specific anti-codon) for a particular amino acid; and 'wobble' base-pairing, i.e. permitting non-standard base-pairing at the 3rd anti-codon position. The record is from RNAcentral. Lineage: Bacteria; Bacillati; Bacillota; Clostridia; Eubacteriales; Acutalibacteraceae. RNAcentral also lists the same sequence under 3 other names.
GGGCCUGUAGCUCAGCUGGGAGAGCGUUCGGUUCGCAUCCGAGAGGUCAAGGGUUCGAACCCCUCCAGGUCCACCA